AAUUGUGUAAUAUUUGCUGAAAGGAGCAAAUUCAUUGGUUCUGAUUGCUCCUACAAUUACGGCGGUCCUUGUGGACAGCCUAGUUUGCUCCUACAAUUACGGCGGUCCUUGUGGACAGCCUAGUUUGCUCCUACAAUUACGACGGUCCUUGUGGACAACCUAGUUUGCUCCUACAAUUACGGCGAUCCUUGCAGACAACCUGACAUGGCAUCUCCCUUUUUAGUCUUCUCCUUAUCAACACCUUCAUUCUGCAUUGGAAAAUCAUCUCUUAUAUAUAAAUGCU
Molecule: long non-coding RNA, 283 nt
Filed under: Hordeum vulgare
Lineage: Eukaryota; Viridiplantae; Streptophyta; Magnoliopsida; Poales; Poaceae
Description: long non-coding RNA (HVUL_LNC004455)
Source: RNAcentral